UCUGUCAGAAAAUAUUUGGACAUUUAUCAGUGCGGAUGGAUGAUUCAAUCUGCAAUCAUUAACAGUCUUCUGGAUUGUUGGCCCAUUUCUACAGCUAAGUAAAACAGUUAUUUUGUUGACUCUUCCUUUGCCUCUGUUUUAAGGAUUUCACUAAUGUGGAAAAGUAUUAACAUUCCUUUAAAAUUAAAUUCUUCAAAAGUUUUUGGCCUACCUGGAAGUAUCAUAUUUCCUGUAAAAGUUUCCUUCUGCAGAAACAUUCUAAACAUCAGAAGAUGCCUAAGAUUUUUUAAACAUAAUGUCAUAGUUAAGCUUCCCCAAAUGAAAAGGAAAUAAAUAUUAUACCUUUGUGUGUAUCCAAUAACUAUCACUCUGCUUCACUAUAAUGCCAGGGCUAACACUGAAUAGUUUACAGGCAUGAAAAUGCAGUUUCCAAAAUUGCCAGUGUCCUGCUAGUAUAUUCAGUCUCACACAAAGAAGACAUCAUUUUACCUUACAGAUCUGCCCUAUUCUGGCAUGAGUGGCUUUUCCAGUGUGCUCUCCAUCAAUUGCAUUUUCACGGAAGAAGAAAUAGAUUUUGUCAUCUUCUGGAUUGUCACUUUCUGGUAUCAGGAAUGGCCAUACUGACUUAGACCAAGGUUUACUUAGAUCAAUGUACAGACUCCAGCAUCAACCAAAAGAAAUUAUCUGUGACAAAGUAAGAAUAUGGAACACGUUGAACAACAAAGACCAUAGAAAAGAUCUCAGUGGAACUGUGUCUGUUACCUAUUCUCUAUUAAAAUAAAUCUUUUUAGACAACCAAAAACAUUAGAAAUCUAUAAACAGCUUAAGCUUUCCAUCUCUAAAACAGGAACUCAAGCUAGCCUUCAAGUUACAUUGACACAAGGCCCUAGAUAAAUAAUAUCUAGAUCAUAUUGUAACAAGGUUAAUAUAUGUUAUUUUUAUAUGAUCUAUUACCAAAAUAUCUACAUGGCAACCUGAGGAAGGAUUCAUCAGAGAAAACAGACACCCAGACACUGGUCUGGGCUACUGGAUCUGAAGAACUGGUCUGAACACAUAAGGUUGUUUUUACAAUCUUAAGGUCUUAAUGAAAAGGGUAAAAAAACAUUCAACCAAAAUCUAAAUACAUUCCCAAAUGGCUGAAUGAUUUGUCUCCAGCACAACGGGUUUUGUAAAUCACAAGAUAUCAAAUUCUAACAUAAAUCACUAUAUUGUCAGACAUCAAAAUUCUAACUUUACACUGGCUUGUGAUGAGCCCAUGGGGAGACCCAUUCAAGUCAGCAAUAUUGCUGAUAUAGUAAAGGUUAUAUAAACUUGCCCUAGGUUAGCAUAUUAUUAUUCUUUUCUUUCUGUCUCUUAAUUUUGCAAGUGAACCUAGAACAGUAAGAAAGCCUAGUAUUUGAGCAGAAUUGAUAAAAGAAUUACACAAAAUAUUUGAAGAGGUUAAAAAUAUGUAUUUCAGAUAACUAGCAGAGUGGUAGCAGAGGAGAGGGGUAUGAGUAAGUCAAAUAGAACUAAGGCCAUAGCUAGAGCAUGUGAAUAUGCUUUUUACAUAUUUCUUAGCAGUGUUCAUCUGGGAAGAAUUCAGAAUUUCAAUUAGUGAUUAGUAAUUCUAACUACAUCCCCCAAAAUAGAAUGCUCAUACAGCCUUGUAUUAGAGCAUAUCUUUUGUACAUCAUUGAACAACUUCUGCUGAAAAACACUUGUGUUUCUUACUGAGUAAACUUCGGUUUGUUUUGCCACCUGGUUAAAUUGAUAUGUUUUAGUCAAUAAAAGAGUGGUUCUUCAU
Long non-coding RNA from Cygnus atratus (black swan), 1786 nucleotides. RefSeq lists it as uncharacterized. The transcript is spliced from 3 exons. The record is from RefSeq and is a predicted model, not a curated record. NCBI's taxonomy places the organism in Eukaryota, Metazoa, Chordata, Aves, Anseriformes, Anatidae.